GUAACACGUGGGCAAUCUGCCCUUCACUCUGGGACAAGCCCUGGAAACGGGGUCUAAUACCGGAUAACACCGGCUUCCGCAUGGGGGCUGGUUGAAAGCUCCGGCGGUGAAGGAUGAGCCCGCGGCCUAUCAGCUUGUUGGUGGGGUAAUGGCCUACCAAGGCGACAACGGGUAGCCGGCCUGAGAGGGCGACCGGCCACACUG
RNAcentral lists this ribosomal RNA (204 nucleotides) under Streptomyces sp. barghi1. RNAcentral's name for it is "partial 16S ribosomal RNA". It matches the Rfam family "Bacterial small subunit ribosomal RNA", at positions 110 to 315 of the family's 1533-position model. The record is from RNAcentral. Lineage: Bacteria; Bacillati; Actinomycetota; Actinomycetes; Kitasatosporales; Streptomycetaceae.